This is a long non-coding RNA of Arabidopsis thaliana (thale cress), 219 nucleotides long. RefSeq annotates it as other RNA. The transcript has a single exon. The record is from RefSeq. NCBI's taxonomy places the organism in Eukaryota, Viridiplantae, Streptophyta, Magnoliopsida, Brassicales, Brassicaceae.
UUUGGGUCAUUCAUUAGUCAUUACUUAAGCAAAUUGUCCCAACCAAAAGUUUCUCAGCCUUUGCCUCUUCCAUACACACGUCCCUCGUUUGUUUUACUUUUAUUUGUUCAUACUGAACUAAACCGGAACUUAACCGAGCAGAACAAAUCCGGUUUCUUUUCGAACUUUUUGUUUCCUAGUUGUCAUGUAACUUUGGUCUACUUUCUCCUUCUGUUUAUC